Molecule: long non-coding RNA, 2001 nt
Organism: Rosa rugosa (rugosa rose)
Lineage: Eukaryota; Viridiplantae; Streptophyta; Magnoliopsida; Rosales; Rosaceae
Exons: 3
Source: RefSeq, a predicted model, not a curated record
UUUAGAAAUGAUUUCGUGGUCAUGGGAGAAAGUAUGAAGCUUGGAGGAGUGGUGAAAUUGGUUCGAACAAUUUUUAUUCGAAAACUGAACGUUUUAGGGGAGGUCAAAGGAGUUGACUUUUUAUACGUUCAUAAUUGGGGAAAACUUCCUUCAUGAAAGUUGUAGAGCUCGUCGAUACGAUCUCGUGCAUAUGUGGUAUGCAAAAAUCAGAGUUCGUAUGAAUUAGUUAUGAUUUUUUUGAAAAAGUUUCCAGUUUAGUAUAAAGCUGCCAUUUUUGGAAAUUACCAAAAAUAAUUUCAGUUCCAUUUCUGGAAACCGAACUCUCUCUCUCUUGCGCGCGUCCGAGCCCAGAAAAAACAGAGCAAAGCUCUCCGGCCGAGUUCUCCCUCCUCCGGCCACCAAUCGACACCAGACCACCUCCCUUGCCUUCGCCUCGACGCCGCCUACCUGCUAGACGUGAUCACUUCCACCGGAACGGCCUCAAAUCCGGCAGUCGGAGCCGCAAACUUUGAAACAAAAAUCGGUCAACGCCGGUUUUCUCCUAGCUCCGGCCACCAAAACUCACGAUCCUUAGCUCCCUAAACUCGCCUCAACCUUCUGAUCAUCAUUCUAGAAGGAUCGCACCUGGAGUGAUCGGAUUCACGUUCGUCGGAGCUCGCCGGAUUCUGGAAAUUUUCCACCACCACCGAAGCUUUUGAUAGAAGGAAUCGAAGCCUGAAAUUGAAGUUUUGACGUCGAAAUCAAGCCUUGCCGGAUUCUGCAAAAUUCUGGAAUUUUUCCGACCACCGAAGCUUUCGAUCGGUAUAUCUCGAGCUACAGACCAUAUUUUUCUGUGAUUCUUGAACCAGUGAGUUCUUCUUGAGUUUCUUAACAACUCUUCAGAAGGAAUCGAAGCCUUAAAUUGACGUUUUUACGUCGAAUUGGAGCUCGCCGUUUUCUGCAGUUUCUCGCCGGUUUCUGGAAAAUUCCGGCCACCUUCAUACUGUUCAAGGUGAUCGACGGUUUGAUUUGGCGGACGAUUCUUGAAAUUGUAUUUUGAGCUGUUAAGAAGACGCAGCGGGAAUUUAGAGGUGAGUAAACCUCACGUGGUUCAUAUUACGAACCGAAUAAAUUUAAUUACCUUAUUUUGUCGUAAUUGCGUGAAAAUAUUUAUGGAAUAAAUAUUUGUUUUAAAAUCAUAUGGACUUGAUCAACUACGGUCCAUGGGUAAGUAAAAUGAUUUUUUACUAUACAAAUGAAUUUCUCGGUUUUAUUGCAUGUGAACUAUAGUUGGUAUUAGUGAUUAUCCCUGAGCGGAUAAUUACGUAUAUAUAUAUUUACGUGAUUAUAUAUGAAUGGUGUGACAUUGAAGAGUGUGGAAUUGGGAUGAUUAAAUUAUUAUGAAUUGACAUGUGACUUACCAUAUUUAUAUGUGAUGAACAUGAUUGAUGAGUUCUUGUUAAUAUUCAUGAUUUACAUUGGAGGAUGUAUAGAGUUAGAGAAUGUAGGGUUCUGAGGAUGAGGUGUCCGAAGUUCGACGGUUAAGGAUAACCGGAGUGUUUGUGUGCUGAGGACGGGGAUGUCCAAGGUGCGACGGUUUAUUAUUAACCGAAGUUGUGUGCUGAGGACGGGGAUGUCCAAAGCGCGACUGUUUAUUAUUAACCGAAGUAUAUGGUGCUGAGGACGGGGAUGUCCAAAGCGCGACGGUUAUAGUGUUAACCGAAGUAUUUUUGCCGUUGCUUGACCCUAGGCCAAGGUGUCAGAGGUAACGAGGCAGUUAGAGCUCUAACGUGUUAUGGGAUGGGACCAAAGUGGUGAUAGUGUUGUGUGAUAGGACCAAAGUGGUGAUAUUGAAUUGGUUGACGUUUGCGUCGUGGAUGUUGAGAUUGUUGGUUGUGUUGUUGAGUUAUAAGAAUUGUAAUUUAAAAUCAACAGUUCUUUCUUGUUUACUCAUACUGGCUGUAAAAAGCUUACCGGGUUUUGUGUUGUUGCAACUCCCGGUACACUAUUCAAAUUGUGUAG